GGACAACAGGUUGACCUGGGUGGUGACGAUUCGGGCAGCUUCGGCCGCAACGUGGCUUCCUGCCUUUUGCCGGCAACUAUACCCAGUUCAAAACCACGGAUGUCUGUUGAACGGAGGAAUUGUGAACUCACUUGACGGAGCAGAGGGGCGCCAAGGGCAACAUGCAUACAUACAGGUGCCAUAUCAGCAAUGGCUACGAAUGACGGGAUGGAGAGAGAGAGACGGCCAAAGAGACCAGCUCCACCAAGGUAGAGAGUUGCCGUGAUUGCUGCUCCUACCCACUGAGCACCACCUAACUCGACACUGAACCAACCCCGACUCUCAAAGUGAUGAUCCUUGGCACCCAAGACACAAGAGGGCAGGAUUGAAGAGUGGGACGACGACGACGACGACGACAACCUCUCCUAAGACAAAGCCAUAUUAUCAUGGUGGUAUAAGCCAACCCGCGUCCGGUCCAGCACUCGCCAUGAUCGCACGGACUCACUCCUCAUCAACCAAAAGAAAAAUAAGAAGAAGACCAACCGAACAACCAAGCAACCAACCAAGCAACCAUCCAACCCACUAACACGACCAUCGCUUACUACUACUACAACAAUAACAACAACAACACUCAUCCAUCCACGAAACAGUUGGUACAGGAGGGAGAUGGGGGAUGACUACCUAGUAUAGUAGAGUACGUAGUAGCUGGUGUAAGCGCGUGUGUGUGUGAGCGAGUGUGUCGAACUGGCACCAACUACCUGCAGCUCCCUCCUCCAGUAAAAUGGCUAGUGCCAGGACCACUUUGGCUUAGGUACCAAAUUCCCUCAAGUGUCUUCUUGUCGACGGGGAAGAGAAGGAGAGGGGGGAGGAGGAGAUGUUUUGUUACAAGGGUAGAGUUGAAAUCAACCAAAAAGGCUCAUACAACGCGCUUCCAAGAGGAGAUACGUCCAAGACUUUUAACCUGCUCUAAUUAAUGGCUAGACUUGGUCUUCCAUGGAAUUGAGCUUCGGAUCAAUAGAGCAGACCUCUUUUUGAGAGAUUGCAUUCGGAUGUUCGAGGCAUCGGACUACACUACUGGGUACUGUACGUAUGGCCACGUAUUGACUUCUUUUGAUUGUGGCCAAAUCUGAUGCGCCUGUUAGCGAACAAAAGCCACAAAGCCAAGUAAAUCAAUUGCCAAAGAUUAAGACGCUGAGCGCAAAUCUCCAAAAAAUGACGUGAUCUGGCUAUUACACUUCAUUGAGCACAAAAUUGAUAAAAGAAGACCCAUCACCACACACACACACACGCACACCACUACCACAAAAGCUGAACACGACAAAAAACGGUCAAAUUUCAGAAGAAUGGAAUGACUUCAUUAAAGCGACAUUAUCAGAUGAAACACCUCUUGGUCGCCGUGUACUCUCUUCAUCAUUCAUCAUGUCAGUAUAGCUUCGAUGGAAGAAAAGGCUACAUAAGAGAAUUGUGCCAAAAAACAAAACAAACAUUUAUAGCAUCUCUAAUCGCCAAUGUUUCGAUAAUGCUUUCAAACCCAAGAAACGGAAUAGUCAAGUAACUGGUGCCACUAUCUCUCUUCAACCCCUCAUCAUCGGUCUACCAUACUACUCUAUAAUGAGGAAGGGGCAGGUGUUCGGAAAUCUUCGUAUCUUCUUACGACAAUAGCUUGGUUGGGCGCGAGGGGCUCGAAAUUGUGAGUACUCAAAGCCAUCUAGCACUGAUGGACAAGCACGGCGGCUUCCCCCACUGACGCCUAUACAAUAACCCUCAUCAACGAGUCUUGGAAUUCGAACUCCUCUCCCGGCUAACCAAAUCCUUCCAAGCGAAGGAAGGAACUCAAGUUGAAGGAGCGAGAUAAGAAAUGGGUCCAGAGGUCCCCUGGUAGCACCCUUCGUAUGUUAUCUAAUUUCGUCAAGAUUGACUAUAUCUUAUACUUCGAUCGACUUACCUGGC
Tigriopus californicus is the source of this 1929-nucleotide long non-coding RNA. RefSeq lists it as uncharacterized. NCBI's taxonomy places the organism in Eukaryota, Metazoa, Arthropoda, Copepoda, Harpacticoida, Harpacticidae. The transcript is spliced from 3 exons. The record is from RefSeq and is a predicted model, not a curated record.